Molecule: ribosomal RNA, 416 nt
Filed under: uncultured bacterium
Lineage: Bacteria
Description: bacterial SSU rRNA
Rfam family: Bacterial small subunit ribosomal RNA
Source: RNAcentral
GCAAAACGCGAAGAACCUUACCUACUCUUGACAUCUACAGAAGACUGCAGAGAUGCGGUUGUGCCUUCGGGAACUGUAAGACAGGUGCUGCAUGGCUGUCGUCAGCUCGUGUUGUGAAAUGUUGGGUUAAGUCCCGCAACGAGCUCAACCCUUUCCUUAUUUGCCAGCGGGUUAAGCCGGGAACUUUAAGGAUACUGCCAGUGACAAACUGGAGGAAGGCGGGGACGACGUCAAGUCAUCAUGGCCCUUACGACCAGGGCUACACACGUGCUACAAUGGCGCGUACAAAGGGAAGCGAACUCGCAAGGGGAAGCAAAUCUCAAAAAGCGCGCCUCAGUUCGGAUUGGAGUCUGCAACUCGACUCCAUGAAGUUGGAAUCGCUAGUAAUCGGAGAUCAGCACGCUCCGGUGAAUACG